Molecule: unclassified non-coding RNA, 284 nt
Filed under: uncultured fungus
Lineage: Eukaryota; Fungi
Description: sequence contains ITS1
Rfam family: 5.8S ribosomal RNA (bases 1-105)
Source: RNAcentral
GAAAUGCGAUAAAUAAUGUGAAUUGCAGAAUUCAGUGAAUCAUCGAGUCUUUGAACGCACAUUGCGCCCCCCGGUAUUCCGGGGGGCACGCCUGUCCGAGCGUCAUUACAGCCCAUCGAGCCCGCUCGGUCUUGGGUGUCGCCCCUUCAGUCUGGUGGCGCGCCCCAAAAACGUUGGCGAAGCGGGAGCGUCGAGCGUGACGGACUCACCGGCCUCGGCGCCUCCGCCCGCCUCACCACCCCAAAGUUGACCUCGGAUCAGGCGGGGAUACCCGCUGAACUUAA